RNAcentral lists this long non-coding RNA (758 nucleotides) under Vulpes vulpes (red fox). RNAcentral's name for it is "lncRNA (ENSVVUG00000022135.1)". Lineage: Eukaryota; Metazoa; Chordata; Mammalia; Carnivora; Canidae. The record is from RNAcentral.
UAAAGAUAAAAAGUCAACCUGUUUCCUCCACUUAACAGGCCCCUGACUUGAAAGGAAAAUAGAGGAGCAAUUGAAUGUGUGUAUGUGUAUACUUUACUUGCUCCCUGAGUCCUUGGACCACAGCAUUCCUCAUUACCGCAGGUGAUUAAUGGCAUCAGCAUCCUGGCACCUUGGACUACAAUUUGUUCAAAGUCAGGAGAAUUUGGAAGUAAGAGAAUGGUAGUACGUGUGGCGCUAGAUGGAGUAGGGCAAGAAAGGUAGAACAUGACUUGUGGAAAUACAUGGUAAAAAACAGAGCCGUAAUAACUAAUGUUUCCCCUUCUCUGUUGUAGACCCCAUCUAGGCUCUGGUGUAGUCUUCCCCUUCUCUUUAGGUAGUUACGAUGGUUAGUGACGAUUACGCCAAAGAUUUACCUCACAUUCUUUUCAACCACCGAUGAAAAAAGAAGGCAACUAUAAAGACUUCAACAGGCAGUGGCUGAGUAAUGCAUCGCCCUGAAACCGGUAAGGCAGCGGGCUAAAGAAGUUUCAAGGAAGUUAAGUCCGAAGUCUUGCAAGGAAGACAGCUAUCAGGAAUUUAUGGUCCCUAAGAGGCAAGAUUAUACUAUCUCUUACAUCUUAAGAAUUAUUAGACAUAAGAAGUGUGUUAAUUCUUCUGUGUCUAAAUGAACAACAUGCAGUAAGUACAUGUGAUAAUCGCUUUUUAAUAGAAUAUAAUAUUCUAGUGAAAUGUUCUUAUACACAGAGCUUACCUACCUA